GAACGCUGGCGGCGUGCUUAACACAUGCAAGUCGAACGAACCUUCGGGUUAGUGGCGGACGGGUGAGUAACGCGUGAGAAUCUGCCCUCAGGAGGGGGAUAACGGUUGGAAACGACCGCUAAUACCCCAUAUGCCGAGAGGUGAAAAGAAAUUCGCCUGAGGAUGAGCUCGCGUCNGAUUAGCUUUUUUUCUCCUAAUGGCGCAGCAAAGCUUCGAUCAGUAGCUGGUCUGAGAGGAUGAUCA
Molecule: ribosomal RNA, 243 nt
Filed under: uncultured bacterium
Lineage: Bacteria
Description: partial 16S ribosomal RNA
Rfam family: Bacterial small subunit ribosomal RNA
Source: RNAcentral